GUUAGGAAUAUUGGACAAUGGGCGCAAGCCUGAUCCAGCCAUGCCGCGUGAGUGAUGAAGGCCUUAGGGUUGUAAAGCUCUUUCAGUAGGGAAGAUAAUGACGGUACCUACAGAAGAAGCCCCGGCUAACUUCGUGCCAGCAGCCGCGGUAAUACGAAGGGGGCUAGCGUUGUUCGGAUUUACUGGGCGUAAAGCGCACGUAGGCGGAUUGGUCAGUUAGAGGUGAAAUCCUGGAGCUCAACUCCAGAACUGCCUUUAAUACUGCCAGUCUAGAGUCCAGAAGAGGUGAGUGGAACUCCUAGUGUAGAGGUGGAAUUCGUAGAUAUUAGGAAGAACACCAGUGGCGAAGGCGGCUCACUGGUCUGGUACUGACGCUGAGGUGCGAAAGCGUGGGGAGCAAACAGGAUUAGAAACCCGGGUAGUCC
Molecule: ribosomal RNA, 425 nt
Filed under: uncultured bacterium
Lineage: Bacteria
Description: partial 16S ribosomal RNA
Rfam family: Bacterial small subunit ribosomal RNA
Source: RNAcentral